GACGAACGCUGGCGGCGUGCCUAAUACAUGCAAGUUGAGCGCUGAAGGUUGGUACUUGUACCAACUGGAUGAGCAGCGAACGGGUGAGUAACGCGUGGGGAAUCUGCCUUUGAGCGGGGGACAACAUUUGGAAACGAAUGCUAAUACCGCAUAAAAACUUUAAACACAAGUUUUAAGUUUGAAAGAUGCAAUUGCAUCACUCAAAGAUGAUCCCGCGUUGUAUUAGCUAGUUGGUGAGGUAAAGGCUCACCAAGGCGAUGAUACAUAGCCGACCUGAGAGGGUGAUCGGCCACAUUGGGACUGAGACACGGCCCAAACUCCUACGGGAGGCAGCAGUAGGGAACCUUCGGCAAUGGACGAAAGUCUGACCGAGCAACGCCGCGUGAGUGAAGAAGGUUUUCGGAUCGUAAAACUCUGUUGGUAGAGAAGAACGUUGGUGAGAGUGGAAAGCUAAUCAAGUGACGGUAACUACCCAGAAAGGGACGGCUAACUACGUG
RNAcentral lists this ribosomal RNA (497 nucleotides) under uncultured bacterium. RNAcentral describes it as "partial 16S ribosomal RNA". It matches the Rfam family "Bacterial small subunit ribosomal RNA", at positions 28 to 507 of the family's 1533-position model. The record is from RNAcentral.